Long non-coding RNA from Peromyscus eremicus (cactus mouse), 311 nucleotides. RefSeq lists it as uncharacterized. The record is from RefSeq and is a predicted model, not a curated record. Lineage: Eukaryota; Metazoa; Chordata; Mammalia; Rodentia; Cricetidae. The transcript has 2 exons.
AUUCUCCAAAGCAGUCAGGCAGAGCAUUAUUUAGCAGCUGUUAUGAAGAAACUAAGAGUAAACAGUAAAGCUUGGAGUCUUUCUCAGACCAGCCCAUCUUCAGGGAGACCCUGGGACAAGACAAGGUGCUUGGAAGAAACACAAACAGCAGAACUGAAUAGAUGAGGAUUAGACCAGCUGAUUCACUCAGAAAGGAUACUCUCUAACCCACUAAGCUGUCUUAUGGCUGUGAAGAGAACUCCAGAUUUUAAGCUUUUGUGAGUGUCUCACAUGCUGAGGUGAACUCCUAUGAUAAAUGUGAUUUUGAAUCA